GUUGUUGCCUAAAUCCUGUACAGUAGGGGUCUCUUGUAAUCCAGUGAUAAUGCAUUUAGAUUAGCUGUCUUUGUAGCCAUUAAUAAUAUCUUUGCUCAUGCUGAUUUGAUAAAUUGCUGACAUUUACUGCUUCAUCAGCAGGUAAUUCCAGAGCAGGUGGGAAGAAAACGAAUCUCCCUCAAACAAAAGAGCCCAUGACAGAUGCUGAGAGAAUUCUGUUCCUCAGGUCUAAGGUGAAAAAAUCAUUCAAGGACCUCAUGAAAUACAGGCAACAGCUGGAAACAUUAGUGCCAGUAGAGGGCAGUAGUGAGCUGAGGAGUCUCCUGCUGAUGAGUCCUGCUGAUCUACAAACUGAACUCAAGAGACAUGAGAAUCUGUGUGCUAAAAUUGCAUCUUGUGCACAUAGAGCAGACACAAACAAGGGCCAUUUCCAAGGGAUCAAACAGACUGGCAGCUCUUAUGAAUUUCUGAAGGCAAUCUUAAGGUAUGCCCCCCCCCCCCACCCCACCCGGGUUUGUUUUUUACUCAUUGUAACUUUAAAAGCUUGUCACAUUACAGAGAUUCAUGUAAUUCUACAGCAACUAGUAGUGGUUUUAUACAGUAGGGUGGGCUGUUUUGACCCUGCACACCCUAGCAAAAGUCUAGCAACUACCUAG
Molecule: long non-coding RNA, 656 nt
Organism: Cyprinus carpio (common carp)
Lineage: Eukaryota; Metazoa; Chordata; Actinopteri; Cypriniformes; Cyprinidae
Source: Ensembl